CUCUGUCUGAAAUACAGGGGUGUCAUAGCACACUUCUGUGGUUUCUCCUACUUGGGAGGCUGAGGCAGGAGGAU
Molecule: microRNA precursor, 74 nt
Filed under: Tupaia belangeri (northern tree shrew)
Lineage: Eukaryota; Metazoa; Chordata; Mammalia; Scandentia; Tupaiidae
Description: miRNA (ENSTBEG00000017943.1)
Source: RNAcentral